AAGAGGGCAGGAUAAGAGAAUUUGAGGGUAAAUGCAAAUGAUUUCUCUUAGGGAACUAGGCUGGAGCACUAUCGAUAGCACCAAGUGUUUAGUGGUAUUAAGUUUUCGGUCCUUGGAUGAAAAAACAUACGGUUACGAUGAUGUGGGCCCUAGGGUUGAGUAAGUUAUUUGUUGAAUAAUAUAAUCUAACGGAUAAAAAUAGUCAAAGGGGUAAAUCUAACGGCGGAAAACUCGAUAGCAUCAAGCGCUUGGUGCUAUCAAUAGUAUCCCAGCUGGACUCUUCUCUUAGGGUACAUUCUCUUAGGGUACAUUAAGAAUUAGCAAAAUAUAACAAUAGCUAGCAACAUAACUCAACAUCAUACCAGUAGUUGAAAAGGUAGAAGUAUAAAUUAGUUGCAGUUUUUGAAAUGCUAUUUGAACUUUAAAAUAUUGAAUUAUAUUGGUGAAAUAAUAUAUGUUAGAAUUUGAAAGUUUUCAUUAGUGCAGUUGUAGAAUGUUCCCUUAAAUAGCAGUACAGAUUAUCAAAUUUUAAAAUAUUCACUUUUAAAGUGAAAAAUAUUGUUUUUUUUUUGAGAAAAAGGUAGCGCGCUACCCGCUUCAUUCAUUCAGUAAGUGAAUUAAGCUACAUGGGUGAGGCAGCAAGGCCUCGACGAAAGGCGAAAAUAUAU
This 668-nucleotide long non-coding RNA is filed under the name Ananas comosus (pineapple). RNAcentral describes it as "long non-coding RNA (ACOM_LNC005107)". The record is from RNAcentral. Lineage: Eukaryota; Viridiplantae; Streptophyta; Magnoliopsida; Poales; Bromeliaceae.